RNAcentral lists this ribosomal RNA (564 nucleotides) under Aspergillus oryzae. RNAcentral describes it as "eukaryotic LSU rRNA". The stretch from base 226 to 379 matches the Rfam family "5.8S ribosomal RNA". The record is from RNAcentral. Lineage: Eukaryota; Fungi; Ascomycota; Eurotiomycetes; Eurotiales; Aspergillaceae.
UCGUAACAAGGUUUCCGUAGGUGAACCUGCGGAAGGAUCAUUACCGAGUGUAGGGUUCCUAGCGAGCCCAACCUCCCACCCGUGUUUACUGUACCUUAGUUGCUUCGGCGGGCCCGCCAUUCAUGGCCGCCGGGGGCUCUCAGCCCCGGGCCCGCGCCCGCCGGAGACACCACGAACUCUGUCUGAUCUAGUGAAGUCUGAGUUGAUUGUAUCGCAAUCAGUUAAAACUUUCAACAAUGGAUCUCUUGGUUCCGGCAUCGAUGAAGAACGCAGCGAAAUGCGAUAACUAGUGUGAAUUGCAGAAUUCCGUGAAUCAUCGAGUCUUUGAACGCACAUUGCGCCCCCUGGUAUUCCGGGGGGCAUGCCUGUCCGAGCGUCAUUGCUGCCCAUCAAGCACGGCUUGUGUGUUGGGUCGUCGUCCCCUCUCCGGGGGGGACGGGCCCCAAAGGCAGCGGCGGCACCGCGUCCGAUCCUCGAGCGUAUGGGGCUUUGUCACCCGCUCUGUAGGCCCGGCCGGCGCUUGCCGAACGCAAAUCAAUCUUUUCCAGGUUGACCUCGGAUCAG